Molecule: ribosomal RNA, 492 nt
Filed under: uncultured bacterium
Lineage: Bacteria
Description: partial 16S ribosomal RNA
Rfam family: Bacterial small subunit ribosomal RNA
Source: RNAcentral
AGUGAACGCUGGCGGUAGGCCUAACACAUGCAAGUCGAACGGCAGCACAGUAAUAGCUUGCUCUUACGGGUGGCGAGUGGCGUACGGGUGAGGAAUACAUCGGAAUCUACUUUUUCGUGGGGGAUAACGUAGGGAAACUUACGCUAAUACCGCAUACGACCUACGGUUGAAAGCAGGUGAUCUUCGGACCUUGCGCGAUUGAAUGAGCCGAUGUCGGAUUAGCUAGUUGGCGGGGUAAAGGCCCACCAAGGCGACGAUCCGUAGAUGGUCUGAGAGGAUGAUCAGCCACACUGGAACUGAGACACGGACAAGAGUACUACGGGAGGCAGCAGUGGGGAAUAUUGGACAAUGGGCGAAAGCAUGAUCCAGCCAUACCGCGUGGGUGAAGAAGGCCUUCGGGUUGUAAAGCCCUUUUGUUGGGAAAGAAAAGCAGCAGGUUAAUACCCCGCUGUUCUGACGGUACCCAAAGAAUAAGCACCGGCUAACUUCGUG